This is a non-coding RNA of Ciona intestinalis (vase tunicate), 1353 nucleotides long. The record is from RefSeq and is a predicted model, not a curated record. NCBI's taxonomy places the organism in Eukaryota, Metazoa, Chordata, Ascidiacea, Phlebobranchia, Cionidae.
ACUUCUCUCCUAUUUUCACGUUAUCGUCGUUAUAGAUACAUGCAAGCAAUUUUUAGCGACAAAUUUGAAUUAAAAGGGAAUUUAAAUAGCUUAAAAUGCAUGAAAACGACAGCAACGGUGAUUCUUACCACGACAGGGACAUUCAUCGUCGAAACGAUGCGGAAGAAGCGGUUUUAGACGGCAGUCUUAUCAAACAAACAAGUAACGAUGAAAAAGGAAAGAUGUUCGUUGGUGGUUUAUCAUGGGACACUGAUGAAUUCAAACUAAAGGAAUACUUUGAACAAUUCGGUCAAGUUAGAGAUUGCAUUAUAAAACGAGAGCUUGAAACCGGGAGAUCAAGGGGUUUUGGUUUCAUAUUGUUCGCCGAUGCUUCAUCUGUUCAAAAAGUUGUAGACGCCAAAUCCCACUUGUUAGACGGGAGAAACAUCGACCCCAAGAAAGCAAAAGCUUUACGUAAAGACUCGAAGUUGUUUGUCGGGGGUUUGAACCCGGAUACCACACAAGAAACUAUUCAAGCUCAUUUUGAAAAGUUUGGGGAGGUUGACUCCAUAGAGCGUCCAGUUGACAGGAACACAGGGAAACACCGAGGAUUUUGUUUCAUCACAUUUUGCAAGGACGGCGUCAUACAUGAUAUUAUUGACAACAAUAGAUACCAAACGAUUGAUGGAAGACAGUGUGAAUGCAAGGACGGGGAUCCUAAGAAACAAAAUAAAGGCAACCAGAUGAAUAAUUAUGGAGGAUACGGGCAGCAGGGUUGGGGAGGAGGUGGAUGGGGGGGUUAUGGCUAUGCAGGGGGCUACUACGAUGCAGGGUCCAGUGGUUAUGGGGGUUAUGGAGGUUACAGCGGGGGUUACGACACAGGGUACGGGGGUUAUGGGGGCUAUGGAGGGUACGCACCUCAACCUUAUAGCGGGGCUGGAUAUGGGGAUUCAAGUCAAAUGCAAGGAGCUGCAGGUGUAGCUGGCAUGACCGGUGGUAAAAGUAAAACAGGAGGAAGAGGUGGCCAGAAUACAUACAAGCCAUAUUAAGAUGUAUUUUAAUAAAACCCAAUAUGUAGUGAAUAAAUUAUAUAUAAGACACUGUUACUGCAUUUAUUAAACCUGACUCCAAAGAAGUCACCACUGGAAGAAGCACCGACAGGGAUACUCUCUGCUAAAAAUCGAACACAUGGCGACAGAAACAAAGUCCUUCAGUUUUUAGCUUUUGAUUUUAAUUUUCGACGUUCAAUAUUGAGUGAAAUGACAACGUGUUGUUCAAAUACGAUUUGUAUUUUUGGGGAAUUGGUUUCCAUUAAGUUGUUCGUAACAAGUUCUUUACAAUUGUUACAAAUACAUUCAUUGUUUCGUUAAAAAA